AAGAUGUGUUGGUCUUUUAGCUCUUUUGUAAUUAAAUCUGGAUGUACCUCAAAAGAAUCUUAAGACUGUGGUGAUAAGAUGCUUUCCUC
Tursiops truncatus (common bottlenose dolphin) is the source of this 89-nucleotide non-coding RNA. The record is from Rfam. Lineage: Eukaryota; Metazoa; Chordata; Mammalia; Artiodactyla; Delphinidae.